RNAcentral lists this ribosomal RNA (446 nucleotides) under uncultured bacterium. RNAcentral describes it as "partial 16S ribosomal RNA". It matches the Rfam family "Bacterial small subunit ribosomal RNA", at positions 338 to 795 of the family's 1533-position model. The record is from RNAcentral.
CCUACGGGUGGCAGCAGUCGAGAAUCAUUCACAAUGGGGGAAACUCUGAUGGUGCGAAGCCGCGUGGGGGAAUGAAGGUCUUCGGAUUGUAAACCCCUGUCAUGUGGGAGAAAAUCAAAAAGAGAGUACCACAAGAGAAAGAGACGGCUAACUCUGUGCGAGCAGCCGCGGUAAUACAGAGGUCUCAAGCGUUGUUCGGAAUCACUGGGCGUAACGCGUGCGUAGGCUGUUUCGUAAGUAGGGUGUGAAAGGUGCGGGCUCAACCCGCGGAUUGCACAUGAUACUGCGAGACUAGAGUAGUGGUGGGGUAGCCGGAAUUCGCGGUGUAGCAGUGAAAUGCUUAGAUAUCGAGAGGAACCCUCGUGGCGAAGGCGGGUUCCUGGACAUUAACUGACGCUGAUGCACGAAGGUCAGGGGAGCGAAAGGGAUUAGAUACCCCUGUAGUC